Long non-coding RNA from Etheostoma spectabile (orangethroat darter), 76 nucleotides. RefSeq lists it as uncharacterized. The transcript is spliced from 3 exons. NCBI's taxonomy places the organism in Eukaryota, Metazoa, Chordata, Actinopteri, Perciformes, Percidae. The record is from RefSeq and is a predicted model, not a curated record.
CUACUGCUCUUAACAGAAACCAUUCAAUGAGUCACUUGUCAUUUGCAAAAACGAACAGUUGCAUUUUGUUGCAUUA